Long non-coding RNA from Dermacentor albipictus, 369 nucleotides. RefSeq lists it as uncharacterized. Lineage: Eukaryota; Metazoa; Arthropoda; Arachnida; Ixodida; Ixodidae. The record is from RefSeq and is a predicted model, not a curated record.
AUCUUAACCACUCUGAAUCACCCUAUAUAUAUAUUGUAACUAUAGUCUUUCUAUACUCGCAACACCCCCGUAACAUAUUGGUGGGAGGUGCGGGGUACCACGGCUGGAAACGGAGCAUGCGCAGUGGACGUCAAACACCGUCCGCACCAUGAAUGAAGGAUCAGCGCUUUCCGAGGAGCAAGAGGAGCGCAGGAGGAAGAAGGUCCCAUUUGGCGUGGCGCCACCCGCCUUCCUGUAGCAGGUCGUUUAUGAAUGCAUACGACUGCAGCUUUCCGUGUUUCGUAAGGCGGCGAACGGUUUGCACGAAGGCGAGCUUUCUGGCAUUCGUGACACUGUCAUGAGGAAACCUGGAGGACAACGACGCUUCAA